This is a long non-coding RNA of Ailuropoda melanoleuca (giant panda), 290 nucleotides long. RefSeq lists it as uncharacterized. NCBI's taxonomy places the organism in Eukaryota, Metazoa, Chordata, Mammalia, Carnivora, Ursidae. The record is from RefSeq and is a predicted model, not a curated record. The transcript is spliced from 2 exons.
GAGAGGAAGAAGUCCUUGCAAUUUCUCAAAUGUGUCUAAUUCACCGUCCAGGUGUUUGGGGACCAGGUUUCCGGCAGGAGAACCCCAGUUGCCCCAGCAGUGCCAUGUCUAGAGAGACGUGGCCUUUCUUUGUAUCACCUUUUGGGGGCACUUAAAGUUGCCUACUCCCUAAGAUUCCCAGAUAAUGUUCCAAGUCCCAGCCUUGUCCUCCUCAAGGCUUAUGGUUUGAACUUUUGUCCUGAGUGGUUCCCUGUAUCCUGGAAGAAUAAUACACUGUCUACGGCUGCAAA